UAGGAGAUGCUGGCCUAGUGAUAUCAGCACUGAAGUGGUUCAACCCUGGGAAAACUUGGUGGCUUCCAAAAUGGGCAAAUGCGGCACAGAACUCUGUCUUCAUCGUUCCGGGGAGCAUUUUCUGUACAGAAUAAUCAGCCUUGCCCUUCUACAAGUGGAAGGAGCAUUUUCAGAGUGAACUUAAUAAAGAUUGAGAUCGGCUGCCUCCUGUCAAGCCAUGCUGAGAAGUCAAGUCCCCGCAAAGAGAGGAGAGGGAGCGUGAAUCCCAUCCGGGGGGCGGCCUGCAGAUAUUAACACAGAUCACCAGAAACUGCAAUUAGAGGAAAGAAAAAUGACCUAGCAAAGCUAAAUCGUCAAGGGCCAACUGUUACCAGAUACAGAAAGGACCAUUUGGGGGAAAGUAAAAAAAUCACAUUCAACAGGAUAAAGGUGUGCAGUCAAUCAAAUUAGCCAAAUCGGAAAAGUAGGAGCAGUUUGCAGUUUGAACAUCCAAGUGAAACCAAGAUACAAGGGCUUAUGAUACCACCCGCCAAGGAGAAAGGGAGAUAAAACGGCGUAAGCUCCGACCAUCUAGCUCUGAGAGAGUUAGAAGGCGAGGCGUUUGAAAGAGCCCAGAGAAAAACGGCACUCUAUAAACCUCUUUGUUUUCCACCGCCAAGAACAUUUCAGAAAAUUA
Long non-coding RNA from Ornithorhynchus anatinus (platypus), 676 nucleotides. RefSeq lists it as uncharacterized. The record is from RefSeq and is a predicted model, not a curated record. The transcript has 5 exons. NCBI's taxonomy places the organism in Eukaryota, Metazoa, Chordata, Mammalia, Monotremata, Ornithorhynchidae.